Molecule: ribosomal RNA, 96 nt
Filed under: Lacticaseibacillus paracasei
Lineage: Bacteria; Bacillati; Bacillota; Bacilli; Lactobacillales; Lactobacillaceae
Description: Lactobacillus paracasei partial 23S ribosomal RNA
Rfam family: Bacterial large subunit ribosomal RNA
Source: RNAcentral
GUAAGACCCUGAGAGAUGAUCAGGUAGAUAGGCUGGAAGUGGAAGUGCAGCGAUGCAUGGAGCGGACCAGUACUAAUCGGUCGAGGACUUAACCAA